AAUGAACGCUGGCGGCAGGCCUAACACAUGCAAGUCGAACGGGUCCUUCGGGACUAGUGGCGGACGGGUGAGUAACGCGUGGGAACGUGCCCCUUGGUACGGAAUAGCCCCGGGAAACUGGGAGUAAUACCGUAUGUGGUCGAGAGACGAAAGAUUUAUCGCCAAGGGAUCGGCCCGCGUUGGAUUAGGGAGUUGGUGGGGUAAUGGCCUACCAAGCCGACGAUCCAUAGCUGGUUUGAGAGGAUGAUCAGCCACACUGGGACUGAGACACGGCCCAGACUCCUACGGGAGGCAGCAGUGGGGAAUCUUAGACAAUGGGGGAAACCCUGAUCUAGCCAUGCCGCGUGAUCGAUGAAGGCCUUAGGGUUGUAAAGAUCUUUCAGGUGGGAAGAUAAUGACUGUACCACCAGAAGAAGCCCCGGCUAACUCCGUGCCAGCCGCCGCGGUAAAAC
Molecule: ribosomal RNA, 452 nt
Filed under: uncultured bacterium
Lineage: Bacteria
Description: bacterial SSU rRNA
Rfam family: Bacterial small subunit ribosomal RNA
Source: RNAcentral